RNAcentral lists this transfer RNA (71 nucleotides) under Ictidomys tridecemlineatus (thirteen-lined ground squirrel). Its description in RNAcentral is "Spermophilus tridecemlineatus (thirteen-lined ground squirrel) tRNA". It matches the Rfam family "tRNA". Rfam says of the family: Transfer RNA (tRNA) molecules are approximately 80 nucleotides in length. Lineage: Eukaryota; Metazoa; Chordata; Mammalia; Rodentia; Sciuridae. The record is from Rfam by way of RNAcentral.
GUGGCUGUGGCUCAGUGGUAGAGCGCUUGCCUAGCGUGCGUGAGGAACUGGGUUUGAUUCUCAGCACCACA